Molecule: small RNA, 2175 nt
Filed under: Pongo abelii (Sumatran orangutan)
Lineage: Eukaryota; Metazoa; Chordata; Mammalia; Primates; Hominidae
Description: processed transcript
Source: RNAcentral
AGUGCGAGGCGCGCGGGGCACGGAGGGCGGUGGCGGCGGGCUCCUGUGAGAAGCGAGCGGAGCUUCCUGAGGUGUCACAGCUGGGUGACCCUCGGAAGGAAGGUUUUGCCGCUGGCGCGUCAGGUGUAUCGCGGUCUUGGGCCGCGGAUCCCUGGGGCCUGCCGCCGCCUCUGGGGUUCGCGCGGCCCGGGCGUCGGGGCUGCCUCAGCGCUGGCUGAAGGCCGGUCCGACGCACCCUUAAUUGUGGCCGCGCGUUGCCCUGCUGCGCCUGCUGUUCUCCGCGUCGCGGUGGUGGACUCUGGAGGUGGAGCCUUGCCCGACGAGUCCUUGAGGAUUUUGUGAAAAUGGAAAAUUAUGAGGCAUUGGUAGGCUUUGAUCUCUGUAAUACACCGCUCUCCAGUGUUGCUCAGAAGAUUAUGUCUGCUAUGCAUUCAGGUGAUUUAGUGGAUUCUAAGACUUGGGGAAAGAGUACAGAGACUAUGGAAGUGAUAAACAAGUCCAGUGUUAAGUAUUCAGUACAACUUGAAGAUGGGAAGAAUCAAUCACCAGAAAAAAAGGAUCUUAAAUCUUUAAGAAGUCAGACAUCAAGAGGUUCCGCCAAGCUCUCUCUUCAGUCCUGCAGUGUCAGGCUCACAGAUCAGCUGUCUACUGACCAAAAACAGAAGAGCAUCAGCUCAUUGACUCUUUCAAGUUGUUUAAUUCCACAGUAUAAUCAAGAGGCUUCAGUUCUACAGAAAAAGGGGCAUAAAAGAAAGCAUUUCCUAACGGAGAAUAUAAAUAAUGAAAAUAAAGGAAGCAUUAAUCUUAAAAGAGAACAUGUUACAUAUAAUAAUUCAUCAGAGAAAACAAGUAAACAAAUGGCAUUGGAAGAAGAUACUGAUGAGGCUGAAGCCUACCUCAAUUCUGGGAACUCAGGAGCAUUGAAAAAACAUUUUUGUGAUAUUAGGCAUUUGGAUGAUUGGGCAAAAAGCCAGCUGAUUGAAAUGCUCAAACAGGCAGCAGCCCUGGUGGUAACUGUGAUGUAUAGUGAUGGUUCCACCCAGCUAGGAGUUGACCAGACCCCCAUUUCCUCUGUUAAAGGAAUUGUGGUGUUACUAAAACGCCAAGCAGAGGGUGGCCAUGGUUGUCCAGAUGCCCCGGCCUGUGGUCCUGUUCUGGAGGGCUUUGUGUCAGAUGAUCCAUGUAUCUACAUUCAAAUAGAGCACUCUGCUAUCUGGGACCAAGAACAGGAGGCACAUCAACAAUUUGCCCGGAACGUGCUAUUUCAAACACUGAAAUGUAAAUGUCCUGUUAUUUGUUUUAAUGCUAAAGAUUUUGUGAGAAUAGUGCUGCAGUUUUUUGGUAAUGAUGGCAGUUGGAAGCAUGUUGCUGAUUUUGUAGGGCUAGAUCCCAGAAUUGCUGCAUGGCUUAUAGAUCCUAGUGAUGCCACACCCUCUUUUGAAGAUUUAGUAGAAAAAUACUGUGAAAAAUCCAUUACUUUUAAAGUGAACAACACAUAUGGAAAUUCCUCAAGAAAUAUUGUGAUUCAGAAUGUACGUGAGAACCUGAAGAUACUCUACAGACUUACAAGGGACCUUUGCUCUAAACUGAAGGGUUAUGGUUUAUGGCAGCUAUUUUGUACUUUGGAGCUUCCUCUGAUACCAAUUUUGGCAGUGAUGGAAAGCCAUGCCAUUCAGGUGAACAAAGAGGAGAUGGAGAAGACGUCAGCACUUCUUGGGGCUCGUCUCAAGGAAUUGGAGCAAGAAGCUCAUUUUGUUGCAGGAGAACCGUUUCUUAUAACAAGCAAUAACCAGCUUCGAGAGAUCCUCUUUGGCAAGUUAAAGCUGCACCUGCUGAGUCAAAGGAACAGUCUCCCCAGAACGGGGCUGCAGAAAUACCCGUCCACAUCAGAAGCAGUGUUAAAUGCUCUGCGAGACUUUCAUCCAUUACCCAAGAUAAUUUUGGAAUACAGGCAGGUUCACAAGAUCAAGUCAACCUUUGUAGAUGGAUUGCUAGCUUGCACGAAAAAGGGCUCCAUUUCCUCUACAUGGAAUCAGACUGGAACUGUGACUGGAAGACUUUCAGCCAAGCAUCCUAUUUGUGCCAGUGGCUUCUGAUUUCCAGAAAUGUGUUGAAGUAUCUGAUGCUAUGAUGAAGAGCUCCAUUUUUUGGUCAUUGUUGAAGCUAUAUCUGAUG